Molecule: ribosomal RNA, 1443 nt
Filed under: metagenome
Description: bacterial LSU rRNA
Rfam family: Bacterial large subunit ribosomal RNA
Source: RNAcentral
CAUACCGCCAUCAGUGAUGUCCUGACGGAGCAGUGACACCUCCGCGCCCUGACGGAAUAGGGCGUUGAAGGGCGUAGGCUAUGAUGAUGCCAGGCAAAUCCGGCAUCAGAGCUGAAACCUGAAAGUACGGGGUCCCCUUCGGGGGAACCUGAGAGCGAGGGUAACCAUACUCCCGAGAAAAUGGGCUAAACUCAUGUUGGCGGUACCCGUACCGCAAACCGACACAGGUAGUUGGGUAGAACAUACUAAGGCGUUGAGAGAUUCAUGGCUAAGGAACUAGGCAAACUGACCCCGUAACUUCGGGAUAAGGGGUCCUCACCUCCGGGUGAGGCGCAGAGAAUAGGUCCAGGCAACUGUUUAACAAAAACACAGGGCUGUGCGAACUCGAAAGAUGAAGUAUACAGCCUGACACCUGCCCGGUGCCGGAAGGUUAAGAGGAGAUGUCACCGCAAGGGAAGCAUUGAAUUGAAGCCCCGGUAAACGGCGGCCGUAACGAUAACGGUCCUAAGGUAGCGAAAUUCCUUGUCGGGUAAGUUCCGACCUGCACGAAUGGUGUAAUGAUCCGGACGCUGUCUCGGCCAUGAGCUCAGUGAAAUUGUAGUAUCGGUGAAGAUGCCGAUUACCCGUGAUGGGACGAAAAGACCCCGUGAACCUUUACUACAGCUUAGCAUUGACCUUGGUCAUCCGAUGUGUAGGAUAGGCCGGAGGCUUCGAAGCGGCGUCGCCAGGCGUUGUGGAGCCAUCCUUGAAAUACGGCCCUUUGGCUGUCUGAGGUCUAACGCGGAUAGUCGCGGACACUGCUUGGUGGGUAGUUUGACUGGGGUGGUCGCCUCCAAAAGCGUAACGGAGGCUUCCAAAGGUGCCCUCGGGCCGUUUGGUAAGCGGCCUUCAAGAGUGCAAUGGCAAAAGGGCGCUUGACUGGGAGGGAGACAUCCCGAGCAGGCAGGAAACUGGGGCAUAGUGAUCCGGCGGAUGUGUAUGGAAACUCCGUCGCUCAAAGGAUAAAAGGUACUCCGGGGAUAACAGGCUGAUCCCCCCCAAGAGCUCAUAUCGACGGGGUGGUUUGGCACCUCGAUGUCGGCUCGUCACAUCCUGGGGCUGGAGAAGGUCCCAAGGGUUGGGCUGUUCGCCCAUUAAAGUGGCACGCGAGCUGGGUUCAGAACGUCGUGAGACAGUUCGGUCUCUAUCUAUCGUGGGCGCAGGAGUUUUGAGUGGUGCUGUCACUAGUACGAGAGGACCGUGACGGACAGACCUCCGGUGUACCGGUUGUGCCGCCAGGCGCACCGCCGGGUAUCCGCGUCUGGAUCGGAUAAGCGCUGAAAGCAUCUAAGUGCGAAGCUUUCCACGAGAUUAGAACUCCAUUGAGGGUCGUCGCAGACGACGACGUUGAUAGGGCGCAGGUGUAAAGACGGCGACGUCAAAGCCGAGCGCUACUAAUUGCCC